This 969-nucleotide non-coding RNA is filed under the name Homopholis fasciata. Its description in RNAcentral is "12S ribosomal RNA". It matches the Rfam family "Bacterial small subunit ribosomal RNA". The record is from RNAcentral. Lineage: Eukaryota; Metazoa; Chordata; Lepidosauria; Squamata; Gekkonidae.
CACAGUUUUGGUCCUAGACACUUACUAUUACUUGUUAGCUCUCAUUACACAUGCUAGCAUCUACGGCCCGGUGCAUUUACCCAACACCUGUAUACCACAGGUCAGGAGAAGGUAUCAGGCACACCCACAUACAGGUAGCCCAAAACACCUUGCCCUUGCCACACCCCCACGGUAACCCAGCAGUGAUAGACAUUAAGCAAUAAGCGAAAGCUUGACUUAGCCACAGCAACCCAACAGGGUCGGCCAACUCCGUGCCAGCCGCCGCGGUUACACGGUGGACCCAAAAGAACACCCCCCCCGGCGUAAAAUGUGACUAAAGACCCAGGCCUACAUCAAGAAAUUAAAACUACAACCAAGUUGUUAAAAACCAAUGCACGUAGGACCAACCACCAAAUUUCUACUUCUAGAGCCACCUUGAACCCACGAAAGCCAAGACACAAACUGGGAUUAGAUACCCCACUAUGCCUGGCCGUAAACCAAAACAGCAAGCCAACCAGCUGUCCGCCAGAGAAUUACAAGCAAAAAGCUUAAAACUCUAAGGACUUGACGGUGUCCCACACCGACCUAGAGGAGCCUGUCCUAUAAUCGAUACCCCACGACACACCCCACCCCCACUUGCAAAAUCCGCCUAUAUACCGCCGUCGCCAGCCUACCCCAUGAGGGGGCCAACUAGUGGGCACAACAAUUAACCAUUAAUACGUCAGGUCAAGGUGUAGCCCAUGUGGGGGAAGAGAUGGGCUACAUUUUCUAACAAUAGAAAAAACCACAAGCAGCAUGAAACAGCUAAGCCAAAAGGAGGAUUUAGCAGUAAAUAGGAACCACAUUAGCCCAAUUGAAGGCCGCUCUGGGAUGCGUACACACCGCCCGUCACCCUCCUCAACAAAACUAACACCACUAAAUAAUAUAAAACCACAAAAAGAUGAGGUAAGUCGUAACAUGGUAAGCGUACUGGAAAGUGUGCUUGGAAAA